GGUUUGGUCAUGUCCAACAUAGAGUAUGGCUCAGUAUAAAAGUGUGAUAAAUUAGUAGUAAAAGAAGUGAGAAGGGGAAGGAGGAAACAUAAAAUGAUGUAGAGGGAAAUAAUAUCGAAAUAUUUUCAAUUUUUGAAUAUUGAUGUUGAAUUGAUUUUCAAGUUCAAACAGAGUUGAAUUGCGAAAAAGAACUAGUCUGGGAUUUAAGUUUAGUUGUUGUUAUUGUAUUAUUGAAGUUAUGGACUAAUAUAUAUGUUUUUUUUCUAUACUUUUUAAUGUGGAAUAUGUUAAAAUUUCAGCAUUCAGACUUUUGAUAUAUUGGAACAAUCAUUUGUAAUCAGCAUAGAUGGCAAAUGAUUUUGGCAUUGCAGUAUAAUGUUAUUUCUGAGCAUUGAAAAUAACAAGUGGAG
This 410-nucleotide unclassified non-coding RNA is filed under the name Hevea brasiliensis (rubber tree). Lineage: Eukaryota; Viridiplantae; Streptophyta; Magnoliopsida; Malpighiales; Euphorbiaceae. The record is from RNAcentral.